This 497-nucleotide ribosomal RNA is filed under the name uncultured bacterium. RNAcentral's name for it is "partial 16S ribosomal RNA". It matches the Rfam family "Bacterial small subunit ribosomal RNA", at positions 28 to 507 of the family's 1533-position model. The record is from RNAcentral.
GAUGAACGCUGGCGGCGUGCCUAAUACAUGCAAGUCGAGCGAACAGACGAGGAGCUUGCUCCUCUGACGUUAGCGGCGGACGGGUGAGUAACACGUGGAUAACCUACCUAUAAGACUGGGAUAACUUCGGGAAACCGGAGCUAAUACCGGAUAAUAUAUUGAACCGCAUGGUUCAAUAGUGAAAGACGGUUUUGCUGUCACUUAUAGAUGGAUCCGCGCCGCAUUAGCUAGUUGGUACGGUAACGGCUUACCAAGGCGACGAUGCGUAGCCGACCUGAGAGGGUGAUCGGCCACACUGGAACUGAGACACGGUCCAGACUCCUACGGGAGGCAGCAGUAGGGAAUCUUCCGCAAUGGGCGAAAGCCUGACGGAGCAACGCCGCGUGAGUGAUGAAGGUCUUCGGAUCGUAAAACUCUGUUAUUAGGGAAGAACAAAUGUGUAAGUAACUAUGCACGUCUUGACGGUACCUAAUCAGAAAGCCACGGCUAACUACGUG